GGAGGGUUGGCCGAGCGGGAAGGCAGCGGCUUGCUAAGCCGUCGUCAGGGUCGCCCCCUGCGCGAGUUCGAAUCUCGCACCCUCCG
This 86-nucleotide transfer RNA is filed under the name Actinomadura mexicana. RNAcentral's name for it is "tRNA_Ser_GCT". It matches the Rfam family "tRNA". Rfam says of the family: Transfer RNA (tRNA) molecules are approximately 80 nucleotides in length. Their secondary structure includes four short double-helical elements and three loops (D, anti-codon, and T loops). Further hydrogen bonds mediate the characteristic L-shaped molecular structure. tRNAs have two regions of fundamental functional importance: the anti-codon, which is responsible for specific mRNA codon recognition, and the 3' end, to which the tRNAs corresponding amino acid is attached (by aminoacyl-tRNA synthetases). tRNAs cope with the degeneracy of the genetic code in two manners: having more than one tRNA (with a specific anti-codon) for a particular amino acid; and 'wobble' base-pairing, i.e. permitting non-standard base-pairing at the 3rd anti-codon position. Lineage: Bacteria; Bacillati; Actinomycetota; Actinomycetes; Streptosporangiales; Thermomonosporaceae. The record is from RNAcentral.